CCCUUAGAUGUUCUGGGCCGCACGCGCGCUACACUGAUUCAUGCAACGAGUUUUGUCCUUGGCUGAAAGGCCUGGGUAAUCUUUGAACGUGAAUCGUGCCGGGGAUAGAUGAUUGCAAUUAUUCAUCUUCAACGAGGAAUUCCUAGUAAACGCAAGUCAUCAGCUUGCAUUGAUUACGUCCCUGCCCUUUGUACACACCGCCCGUCGCACCUACCGAUUGAAUGGUCCGGUGAAAUCUUCGGAUCUGAGAGAUGUUGGAUUAAUUUCUGACGCCUUUUGGAAAAGUCGCUUAAACCUUAUCAUUUAGAGGAAGGUGAAGUCGUAACA
Molecule: ribosomal RNA, 327 nt
Filed under: uncultured eukaryote
Lineage: Eukaryota
Description: partial 18S ribosomal RNA
Rfam family: Eukaryotic small subunit ribosomal RNA
Source: RNAcentral